UAGGGAAUCUUCCACAAUGGGCGCAAGUCUGAUGGAGCAACGCCGCGUGAGUGAAGAAGGUCUUCGGAUCGUAAAACUCUGUUGUUAGAGAAGAACACGAGUGAGAGUAACUGUUCAUUCGAUGACGGUAUCUAACCAGCAAGUCACGGCUAACUACGUGCCAG
RNAcentral lists this ribosomal RNA (164 nucleotides) under uncultured bacterium. RNAcentral describes it as "partial 16S rRNA". It matches the Rfam family "Bacterial small subunit ribosomal RNA", at positions 355 to 511 of the family's 1533-position model. The record is from RNAcentral.